GUUAGAACCCAUUCCAGGGUGCCCUGCCCUUCACAAAGAAAAGAGAACUCUCCCCGGGGCUCCCGCCGGCUUCUCCGGGAACAGUUGCAUUACUGCACUGUUCGCACUGCCAGCAGCCUGU
Molecule: long non-coding RNA, 121 nt
Organism: Gavialis gangeticus (Gharial)
Lineage: Eukaryota; Metazoa; Chordata; Crocodylia; Gavialidae
Exons: 3
Source: RefSeq, a predicted model, not a curated record